Molecule: long non-coding RNA, 957 nt
Organism: Apis florea (little honeybee)
Lineage: Eukaryota; Metazoa; Arthropoda; Insecta; Hymenoptera; Apidae
Source: RefSeq, a predicted model, not a curated record
GGACCGGAUGCACGAGAAAUAUAUAUAUAAUAUAUAUAUAUAUAAUUCACCGGGUAUUUAUGCGCGCGCCUGUGGCGGCGCUGAAAGCAACCCGCGGCUGUGGAAAUGGGGUGUCAUGGCGUGUGACGUAAUUGUGGAGAAAGUGGAAGGCAGAGAGAACAGGGCUCUCCACGAAACGGACAUCAACGGGUGCUACCAACGUCGGAAUGCGAAGAGGCGAAAUGCGUUCGGAGGUGGAUCGAUUACGUAAAACCCGAUUUCGGCCUCUGUGUGUAUGCGUACCAGGCGACGAUUUAAUAAGCAGGUGUUUCUACACAACAGGAAAUAAGGAAAGAAGAAAGAAAUUCCAUCGCGUUGGAGGAAGGGACAUUCUGCAACGAUGAGACCUAAUAAUUUCGCAACAGGCGUCCUUGGAGUCUACUGUUAUGAAAAAAAAAAAAAAAAAAAGAAAAAGAAGAAAAAAUGACUUAUUAAAAAAACUUUCGUCCUUCCUCUUCAAAUCUAAUUGCUUCCUUUAAACUUGUGGCGUCCUUGCGCACACGUGAAAUUGCAACGAGCAGCUUACGAAACACGAAAUUGCUUUUAAUUGUGUACCUGUCUGUGAAAUUUCUCGUAAUUUAUUCAAUAUAAAUUUCGCGCCUCCCUUUCCUUCAAACAGGAGGAGGAAUUCGCUUCGUGGAGAACUUAUAAUUGGUUUUAAUUAAGAUACGUUCUCGAUUCGUUGAUAAAUUCAAUAAUAAAUUCGCGAUAAAAGAAAUUAUGCGAUACACCGUGCGCUUUUGUAAUAUGAAUUUACGUUCAAUGAAUUACUCCUCACCUUUCUCUAGCAAACGCAAUUAAGGUCUGUACACGUUCCUUAAUGUGGUACGUAAUACGUGACAUUUUAGAAAUUUAUGUAAAAUUUUCCAUGAUAUUCAUUUGUAUAAUUACAAAUUAAUCGGUUACUUUUCAUUUUCA